This 327-nucleotide long non-coding RNA is filed under the name Elaeis guineensis (African oil palm). RNAcentral's name for it is "long non-coding RNA (EGUI_LNC033458)". Lineage: Eukaryota; Viridiplantae; Streptophyta; Magnoliopsida; Arecales; Arecaceae. The record is from RNAcentral.
CCAAAACUCCUUUUUUGCAUCCUCAAAAAUUCCAAAAAAAUUAUUAAGAUAUGGAAAAGAAAUCUAGAGUCUCACAUACUAAAAAAUUUUUCAAGAAAAAUAAAAAAAAUAAUAUGACUCUAAUAAUAUACCAUAUACGAAAAAUCUCUUUCCUAAUCUGCAUCUUAUCUCUAAUUUGGAUCGCAUUCAAAUUAGGUAAGAGAUAAUAUUAUGACUCAUCAGCUAUAGCCGACCACCCUUAUUAGAUCCUCUCUCAUGAUGCUAAAAAUUACAAUCCAAAUCUAAUUAGACAUGGAGAAAUUGGUAUGGAUCCAGAUGUGGCGCAAA